AGUUUAUUGUCAGCAUAAAUAAAACAGAAUUUCUGUCUAUAAAGGAGAAGGGAUUUCUAGUCACCUGUCUGGAAUUAGAAGACCCAGAUGAUAUCAUUUUUACCAAGACAUUGAAAAGUAUGUGGUGAAAGGGGCAAGAACAUCUUUGGGAAGAAACAUAGUGGAUGUUCUCUAUGCUAAGCGAUUCUGGCAGUGCAAACAGAGUCACCCUGGAAGCUUCCAUAUCUGGGGCAAGCACCUCAUCUAGGUGUGGGUAGAGAGACAAGCCACGUUGGAGUUUCUCAAAGAAGUGAAAAUGAUCAAGAAGGUCUUGAAAACUAGAGAGAAGUCUUGAAGUUCUAUGCCUUCUCAUGCUGUAUAGAUUCAGAGACCUUGCCAGAGUUGGACCCAGUGGUGUGAAAGUGAUAUUUGUUGGAAUAGUAUGGGCAGGAAAACACAGUUAUUGUGCUUCUUAUUUCUUGAAGUGCCAAGCUCGACACUGAACAUGUUAUCCAUCUGUAAUUAGUGUAUUAGAUUUACUGGACACAAGAUCUAGACA
Molecule: long non-coding RNA, 538 nt
Organism: Felis catus (domestic cat)
Lineage: Eukaryota; Metazoa; Chordata; Mammalia; Carnivora; Felidae
Exons: 3
Source: RefSeq, a predicted model, not a curated record